This 440-nucleotide ribosomal RNA is filed under the name uncultured bacterium. Its description in RNAcentral is "partial 16S ribosomal RNA". It matches the Rfam family "Bacterial small subunit ribosomal RNA", at positions 338 to 795 of the family's 1533-position model. The record is from RNAcentral.
CCUACGGGAGGCAGCAGUGGGGGAUAUUGCACAAUGGGGGCAACGCUGAUGCAGCGACGCCGCGUGAGCGAUGGAGUACUUCAGUAUGUAAAGCUCUGUCAGCAGGGAAGAGAAUGACGGUACCUGACCAAGAAGCACCGGCUAAAUACGUGCCAGCAGCCGCGGUAAUACGUAAGGGGCAAGCGUUAUCCGGAUUUACUGGGUGUAAAGGGAGCGUAUGCGGCAGGGAAAGCCUGAUGUGAAAGCCCGGGGGUCAACCCCGGGCCUGCUUUGGAAACUGGCGAACUAGAGUGGGGGAGGGGUAAGCGGAAUUCGCAGUGUAGCGGUGAAAUGCGUAGAUAUUAGGAGGAACACCGGUGGCGAAGGCGGCUUACUGGCCCCUAACUGACGUUGAGGCACGAAAGCGUGGGGAGCAAACAGGAUUAGAUACCCCUGUAGUC